GACGAACGCUGGCGGCGUGCCUAAUACAUGCAAGUCGAACGCAGCGGCGGACGGGUGAGUAAUGCCUAGGAAUCUGCCUGGUAGUGGGGGAUAACGUCCGGAAACGGGCGAUAAUACCGCAUACUAUCAGAUGAGCCUAGGUCGGAUUAGCUUGUUGGUGGGGUAACGGCUCACCAAGGCGACGAUCCCUAGCUGGUCUGAGAGGAUGAACAGCCACACUGGAACUGAGACACGGUCCAGACUCCUACGGGAGGCAGCAGGGGGGAAUAUUGCACAAUGGGCGCAAGCCUGAUGCAGCCAUGCCGCGUGUAUGAAGAAGGCCUUCGGGUUGUAAAGUACUUUCAGCGGGGAGGCGUUACCCACAGAAUAAGCACCGGCUAACUUCGUGCCAGCAGCCGCGGUAAUAC
This 407-nucleotide ribosomal RNA is filed under the name uncultured bacterium. RNAcentral's name for it is "partial 16S ribosomal RNA". It matches the Rfam family "Bacterial small subunit ribosomal RNA", at positions 28 to 526 of the family's 1533-position model. The record is from RNAcentral.